CUAACAUUUAAAAAAAAAUCACUGGAUGAGAUUAACAACAGAUUGGAGAUGAUGGAAGAAAGUGAACUUGAAGAUAGAUGAAUAGAUUAUCCAACCUGAAUAACAAAGAGAAAACAAGAUUGAAAAAAUUUAAAGAGCCAUAGGGCCCUGUGGGAUAAUAUCAAAAAGUCUCAUAAAGUGCCAUUAGGGUCUCAAAAGGAGAGGAGAAAGAGAAACUGGGGCGAGUAUAGGCAUUUGUCAAUAGUCAAAUUGUACGUUUAAAUUUGUGCAUUUCAAAUAUGUAUGUUUUAUGACAAAAGAAUAAAAGGAAUCAUAAAAAAUACAAAUCCCGGGUUAAUUAUAUUCACGCUAAAGUGUUUAGGAGUGAAAUGUAUUGAUGCCUGUGCUUUGAAAUGCGUCAUAAAAAUAGGAUGGGCUGACAGAGGAAUGGUUAGAGCAAUAGAUAUGUAACAAAGCAAGAACGGUAAAAGGUUAAUUCUAGAAUCUUGGUGGUAGAUAUAUGGUGUAACAUGAUAAUUCUUUCAAGUUUUCUGUAUUUUUGAAAUUUUUUCUAGUAAAAUGAUAGAAUUGAGUAGUGCAUUUUUAGUGUAUUUGUGUCCAAAACUUACUCAAAAUAAAUAAUCCAUGAAAAAAAUCACUUGCAAGAGUGUAAGUGCUAUAGAUGCAUUAAUUAUUAUUAUUUGAACCACUUUCAUCUUUCCUGGAGAACUGUAGUAGUCUCCUAGCUGACCUCUCUUCACUUUCUCCCUCCAAUUCAUUCUUCAUUCGGCAGCCAGAAUGACACUGCAAAAAUGUAGAUCUGGAAAUGUUGAUUCCCUUGCUUACAAAACACUAAUGGCUUCUCUUGCUCUUAGAAUAAAAUUUAAUCUCCUCAUAGCCUACAGGGGCUGCCUCCCUCGAAUGCCUGAUCCUUAACCCAUACAGCCCUCUCCCCGGGCAGGCUUUGCACUUGCUGUCCCGUCAGCCUGUAAUGUCCUUCCCCCAGCUCUUCAGUGGCUAACCAGUUCUCAUUCUUCAGCUCUAUCUCAUCAUGCUUUUUUAUUUCCUUCAAAACAUCUAGAAUAAUCUGUAAUGAUCUAGGUUUUUGUCUACUGUCUGUCUUCCAAACUAAAUCUUGAUAAACGCAGAGAGUUUUCGUUUUUAUUCACUGUUAUCCUCCUGGGGCCAAAUACGUAGUGAGCUCUGGUUAGAUGUUAAGUAUUUUGCCUAAUAUCUCAAAGUUACUAAAUUGCAGAACUGGGACUCAAACCCAGUGUUUCUAUCAGUUCUUCCGUGAUCCUGAAUGGGCAGGGAGAAACUGGGGUGCACAAUUUCUAUCCUCCUGGAGAUUCCAGUCUGGUAAAGAAAAGAUGGAAUACAGAAUCAGAGUGACAAUUGGUUCCAAGCUCCAGAAAACCCCCACACUUCACUCUCCUCACAUCUUUAUCUUUGAGAACACAGGCUCAUCAUCAAUAAAGAUCUUUCUUGUUCCUGUGUCUCCCACUUAGAGUCUGCCACUAAAUCCUGUGCUAGUUGGCUUCCUUGCAUAUCUCCAUUCACCACUACUGCUACAUCAGUCCAGGCCACCUGUGUCGUCUGUCAAGACUACUACAACCAAACAGUCCCCUUUCCUUCAGUCUUGCCUCUAAAUCUGGUUGUGUGUGCUCUACUCCAAGCUCUACAACAGAAUAAAGUCUGGUCUUAUUAACAUUUCUUUCAAGGUUCCUCAGGAGAGGUAGGUAGACAUCUCCCUACCUCUACACGUCCAUUUCCUGUUACUCCUUUCCCUGAACUGCAACAUUCCAGUUCCCCAAACACCUCGUUACUCUCGCUGUAGGCUAUUUCUCCUGCCCAGAACUCUGCUCUGCCUGCUCUUUGGCUGACUUCCUCCCACUCAGCUUUCAGGUUGCAGCUCAGACAUCACUUCCUCUGUGAGAGCUCUGACACCCUCCCCCACCCUCACCACCACAGGUUGUGUGUUUUACUGCGUGUUCCCAUGGCAGCCUGUGCUUUGUCUAUCACAACAUUUUUUCUAUUUCCUUUUUUAAUUGUCUCCCUUUGUUGAUCUAUUGCAAACUCCCUAAAGUCAGGCACCUUAUCCAUCUUGUCUUUCUCACCAUUCAAUGCCCAGUGGCUGCUAAAUGCUUGUGUCGACUAAACACGUAGUAAAUAUUUAUUGGAUGAAUGGAUGGAUGGAUGGGUGGAUGGAUCAUAGCACUUGGAAUAGCUUCUCCAAAAUAAUCUAUAAACUCUCUUAAAUAAAAUAAGCUACAUUACUCCAUUUAUAGCUAGGAAACCACAGUCAAAGGGCAGAGGCCUAUUGGUGGCAGGCAUUGGGGAAUAAAGGGGAGUUCUCCCUUUUCGGCUGAAAUGUUCUAUCCAUAGAAAGGUUUCCAGCUUCUUUAAAGAGAGUUCAUUUUAUU
Equus caballus (horse) is the source of this 2402-nucleotide long non-coding RNA. The record is from Ensembl. Lineage: Eukaryota; Metazoa; Chordata; Mammalia; Perissodactyla; Equidae.